Molecule: ribosomal RNA, 493 nt
Filed under: uncultured bacterium
Lineage: Bacteria
Description: partial 16S ribosomal RNA
Rfam family: Bacterial small subunit ribosomal RNA
Source: RNAcentral
GACGAACGCUGGCGGCGUGCUUAACACAUGCAAGUCGAACGGUGAAGGGACCGGUUUUUGCUGGUUCUGGAUGAGUGGCGAACGGGUGAGUAACACGUGAGUAACCUGCCCCCUGCUUCUGGAUAACCGCAUGAAAGUGUGGCUAAUACGGGAUAUUCUGCGCCUGCUGCAUGGUGGGUGUGUGAAAGAUAUUGUUUCGGUUGGGGAGGGGCUCGCGGCCUAUCAGCUUGUUGGUGGGGUGAUGGCCUACCAAGGCGGUGACGGGUAGCCGGCCUGAGAGGGUGGACGGUCACACUGGGACGGAGACACGGCCCAGACUCCUACGGGAGGCAGCAGUGGGGAAUAUUGCACAAUGGGAGCAAGCCUGAUGCCGCGACGCCGCGUGAGGGAUGGAGGCCUUCGGGUUGUAAACCUCUUUCGCCAGUGAAGCAGGCCUGCCUCUUUUGUGGGUGGGUUGACGGUAGCUGGAUAAGAAGCGCCGGCUAACUACGUG